GAAAUGCGAUAAGUAAUGUGAAUUGCAGAAUUCAGUGAAUCAUCGAAUCUUUGAACGCAUCUUGCGCUCCUUGGUAUUCCGAGGAGCAUGCCUGUUUGAGUGUCAUUCGACUUGUCAACCGCAUCAAUUGCGAUGUGGCUUGGAUGUGGGGGUUUUUGCAGGCUCUCUUUCAUGAGGUCGGCUCCCCUGAAAUGUAUUAGUGGUAUCUGAGCAGAACUACUACCGUCAGGUGUGAUAAAUUAUCUAUGCCUUUGGGUAUGCUGCAUCAACAGAUUGUGCUGCUCAUAACGAAACAAUUGUUUGACGAAUUUGACCUCAAAUCAGGUAGGACUACCCGCUGAACUUAA
This 347-nucleotide unclassified non-coding RNA is filed under the name uncultured Inocybe. RNAcentral's name for it is "sequence contains ITS1". The stretch from base 1 to 105 matches the Rfam family "5.8S ribosomal RNA", at positions 50 to 154 of the family's 154-position model. The record is from RNAcentral. Lineage: Eukaryota; Fungi; Basidiomycota; Agaricomycetes; Agaricales; Cortinariaceae.